Molecule: long non-coding RNA, 937 nt
Organism: Cydia amplana
Lineage: Eukaryota; Metazoa; Arthropoda; Insecta; Lepidoptera; Tortricidae
Exons: 2
Source: RefSeq, a predicted model, not a curated record
UGCGGACGACAGCACUGGGGAUGCCUUUUACACAGGCCGUGCCAACAUCCCUCGUUCUGUGGUGCUUGAGAGUCGUGAAAAGCUUGUGUCGGACAUUGAGAACACUCUAUCCAGAGUUUCGGUGUGGGGUCGGGACAAUUUAGUCCGAUUCAACCCCACCAAGACACAAGUUUGCGCCUUCACCGCUAAGAAAACCCCAUUUACUGUGGUCCCACAGUUCCAAGGCACAGCCCUUACCAUGUCAGGGAGUAUUGGGAUCCUUGGUGUCGACAUCUCCAGUGACGUCCAAUUCCGUAGCCACCUGGAAGGUAAGGCUAAGCUGGCAUCGAAAAAACUCGGUGUGCUCAAUAAAGCGAGGCGAUACUUUACUCCGGGGCAAAGACUGCUGCUUUAUAAAUCGCAAGUCAGACCCCAUAUGGAGUACUGCUGUCACCUUUGGGCAGGAGCACCUGGAUGCCAGCUUGGACCCUUCGACUCAAUCCAAAGGCGCGCUGUACGAAUCGUCGAUGAUCCCAAACUCACAAGCGGUAUUGAACCUUUAAGUCUGAGGAGAGACCUUGCCUCCUUAUGUGUGUUCUACCGCUUGUACAAUGGGCUGUGCUCUGAAGAAUUGUUUGACAUGAUGCCAACGGCAGCUUUCUAUCACCGCACCGCUCGCCAUCGGCAGGGUGUUCAUCCACACACCCUAGAACCUAAAUGGUCGCGUACUGUGCGGUUUAAGAGGAAUUUCCUCCCGCGGACGCUCCGGCUGUGGAAUGAGCUCCCUUCCGAGGUUUUCCCGAGGGUCUACGAUAUGGGGUUCUUCAAAAAAGGAGUGUACAGGUUUUUAAAGGGUCGGCAACGCGCAUGUAUUUAACUCCUCUGGAGUUGCAGACGUCCAAAGGCUACUGUGACUGCUUACCAUCAGGCGGGAAGUAUGCUUGUUUGACACAGACGU